AUACGGAGGAUCCGAGCGUUAUCCGGAUUUAUUGGGUUUAAAGGGUGCGCAGGCGGGAGAUUAAGUCGGCGGUGAAAUUUUGCAGCUCAACUGUAAAAGUGCCUUCGAAACUGGUUUCCUUGAGUGUAGAUGAAGUAGGAGGAAUUUGUGGUGUAGCGGUGAAAUGCAUAGAUAUCACGAGGAACUCCGAUUGCGCAGGCAGCUUACUAAACUACUACUGACGCUCAGGCACGAAGGCGUGGGGAUCAAACAGGAUUAGAUACCCUGGUAGUCCACGCAGUAAACGAUGAUUACUAGCUGUUUGCGAUACAAUGUAAGCGGCUGAGCGAAAGCGUUAAGUAAUCCACCUGGGGAGUACGUUCGCAAGAAUGAAACUCAAAGGAAUUGACGGGG
RNAcentral lists this ribosomal RNA (393 nucleotides) under uncultured bacterium. RNAcentral's name for it is "partial 16S ribosomal RNA". It matches the Rfam family "Bacterial small subunit ribosomal RNA", at positions 523 to 918 of the family's 1533-position model. The record is from RNAcentral.